AUAUUGGAUAAUGGGGGCAACCCUGAUCCAGCCAUGCCGCUUGUGUGGAGUUGUUCUUCGUAUUGUAAAGCACUUUAAGUUGGGAGGAAGUGCUUACGGCUAAUACGCUGAAGUAUUGACGUUACCAACAGAAUAUGCACUGUCUAACUAUGUGCCAUCAGCCGCGGUAAUACAGAGGAUGCAAGCGUUAAUCGGAAUUACUGGGCGUAAAGGGGGCGUAGGUGGUUCAGUAAGAUGGGUGUGAAAUCCCCGGGCUUAACCUGGGAACUGCUUUCAUAACUGCUGAGCUAGAGUACGGUAGAGGAUAGUGGAAUUUCCUGUGUAGCGGUGAAAUGCGUAGAUAUAGGAAGAAACACCAGUGGCAAAGGCGACUACCUGGACUGAUACUGACACUGAGGUGCGAAAGCGUGGGGAGCAAAC
This 420-nucleotide ribosomal RNA is filed under the name uncultured bacterium. RNAcentral's name for it is "partial 16S ribosomal RNA". It matches the Rfam family "Bacterial small subunit ribosomal RNA", at positions 361 to 773 of the family's 1533-position model. The record is from RNAcentral.